Molecule: ribosomal RNA, 503 nt
Filed under: uncultured bacterium
Lineage: Bacteria
Description: bacterial SSU rRNA
Rfam family: Bacterial small subunit ribosomal RNA
Source: RNAcentral
AAUGAACGCUGGCGGCGCGCCUAAUACAUGCAAGUCGAGCGAGAAGACGUAGCAAUACGUUUGUAAAGCGGCGAACGGGUGAGGAAUACAUGGGUAACCUACCCUCGAGUGGGGAAUAACUAGCCGAAAGGUUAGCUAAUACCGCGUACGCUUCUUGGACUUCGGUUCAGGGAGGAAAGCGAUGCCGAGGGUAUCGCGCUCUUGGAUGGGCUCAUGUCCUAUCAGCUUGUUGGGAGGUAACGGCUCACCAAGGCUUCGACGGGUAGCUGGUCUGAGAGGACGAUCAGCCACACUGGCACUGCGACACGGGCCAGACUCCUACGGGAGGCAGCAGUAAGGAAUAUUGCGCAAUGGGCGAAAGCCUGACGCAGCGACGCCGCGUGGGGGAUGAAGGUCUUCGGAUUGUAAACCCCUUUCGGGAGGGAAGAUGGAAUGGGGUAACCCAUUCGGACGGUACCUCCAGAAGCAGCCACGGCUAACUUCGUGCCAGCCGCCGCUGUAAU